UACCAGCUCUUCGAGUGGUGUGGAUGUUUAUUGGGCCUAAAGCAUCCGUAGCUGGCUGGGCAAGUCCCCUGUUAAAUCCACCGAUUUAAUCGUUGGAGUGCGGGGGAUACUGUUCGGCUAGGGGACGGGAGAGGCAGACGGUAUUUUCGGGGUAGGGGUGAAAUCCUAUAAUCCCGGGAAGACCACCAGUGGCGAAGGCUGUCUGCUAGAACGCGCCCGACUGUGAGGGAUGAAAGCUGGGGGAGCGAACCGGAUUAGAUACCCGGGUAGUCCCAGCUGUAAACGAUGCAGGCUAGGUGUUUGGGCGGCCACGUGCCGCUCUAGUGCCGCAGGGAAGCCGUUAAGCCUGCCGCCUGGGGAGUACGGCCGCAAGGCUGAAACUUAAAGGAUUGGCGGGGAGCACCACGAAGGGGUGAAGCUUGCGGUUU
Molecule: ribosomal RNA, 428 nt
Filed under: uncultured archaeon
Lineage: Archaea
Description: bacterial SSU rRNA
Rfam family: Archaeal small subunit ribosomal RNA
Source: RNAcentral